AUUUGCCUCGGAUGCACUCCAACCCCUGUGACAUACCAAUUGUUGCCUCGGCGGAUCAGCCCGCUCCCGGUAAAACGGGACGGCCCGCCAGAGGACCCCUAAACUCUGUUUCUAUAUGUAACUUCUGAGUAAAACCAUAAAUAAAUCAAAACUUUCAACAACGGAUCUCUUGGUUCUGGCAUCGAUGAAGAACGCAGCAAAAUGCGAUAAGUAAUGUGAAUUGCAGAAUUCAGUGAAUCAUCGAAUCUUUGAACGCACAUUGCGCCCGCCAGUAUUCUGGCGGGCAUGCCUGUUCGAGCGUCAUUUCAACCCUCAAGCCCUCGGGUUUGGUGUUGGGGAUCGGCGAGCCCUUGCGGCAAGCCGGCCCCGAAAUCUAGUGGCGGUCUCGCUGCAGCUUCCAUUGCGUAGUAGUAAAACCCUCGCAACUGGUACGCGGCGCGGCCAAGCCGUUAAACCCCCAACUUCUGAAUGUUGACCUCGGAUCAGGUAGGAAUACCCGCUGAACUUAAGCAUAUCAAAACCGGGAAGGAAA
This 532-nucleotide ribosomal RNA is filed under the name Fusarium proliferatum. RNAcentral's name for it is "eukaryotic LSU rRNA". The stretch from base 150 to 303 matches the Rfam family "5.8S ribosomal RNA". The record is from RNAcentral. Lineage: Eukaryota; Fungi; Ascomycota; Sordariomycetes; Hypocreales; Nectriaceae.